CAAUUAUUAACAGUGGGAGCUAAUUUCCUCACUAAUCAGGCUGAAGAUUCUUCACUUGCAGAAGCCAGUUUGCAGACAAACUGAUGCCACCCUAUGAUCACACCAUGCGCCUUCACUGCCCUCCACACGGGAGUCUUCCCAACAGCACCAACACUGAUGACAGGCAAAUGUCACAACCACACUGCAGUGGCAUGAGGAAGAACGUAGAACAAGACUCUGCAAACAUGACCAGCAUGCCUGUGGCCAUCUUGCCCACCAAGGUACCACUAUAGUCAAGCUAUCGACACUAAGGACAAAGAAUAGCUUAAAAGCUGCAAGAGAAAAGGAC
RNAcentral lists this long non-coding RNA (328 nucleotides) under Fukomys damarensis (Damara mole-rat). RNAcentral describes it as "lncRNA (ENSFDAG00000024551.1)". Lineage: Eukaryota; Metazoa; Chordata; Mammalia; Rodentia; Bathyergidae. The record is from RNAcentral.